Molecule: ribosomal RNA, 492 nt
Filed under: uncultured bacterium
Lineage: Bacteria
Description: partial 16S ribosomal RNA
Rfam family: Bacterial small subunit ribosomal RNA
Source: RNAcentral
AGUGAACGCUGGCGGCAGGCCUAACACAUGCAAGUCGAACGACAGCACAGUAAGAGCUUGCUCUUACGGGUGGCGAGGGACGGACGGGUGAGGCAUACAUCGGAAUCUACUAUUUCGUGGGGGAUAACGGAGGGAAACAGACGCUAACACCGAAUACGUCCUACGGCUUAAAUCAGUAGAGCUUCACACCUUUCGCGUUUGAUUGAGCUGAUGUCGCAUUAGCUAGUUGACUGGGUAAGGGCCCACCAAGGCGACGAACCGUAGCUGGUCUGAGAGGAUGAUCGGCCACACGGGAACUGAGAAACGGUCCAGACUCCUACGGGAGGCAGCGGUGGGGAAUAUUCGCAAAUGGGCGAAGGCCUGAUCCAGCAAGACCGCGGGGGUGAAGAAGGCCUUGGGGUGGUAAAGCCCUUUUGUUGGGAAGGAAAAGCGGGAGGUUAAUACCGCGCGGUUCGGACGGUACCAAAAGAAUAAGCACCGGCUAACUCCGUG